RNAcentral lists this ribosomal RNA (468 nucleotides) under uncultured bacterium. Its description in RNAcentral is "partial 16S ribosomal RNA". It matches the Rfam family "Bacterial small subunit ribosomal RNA", at positions 28 to 507 of the family's 1533-position model. The record is from RNAcentral.
GACGAACGCUGGCGGCGUGCUUAACACAUGCAAGUCGAACGGAAAGGCCCUGCUUUUGUGGGGUGCUCGAGUGGCGAACGGGUGAGUAACACGUGAGUAACCUGCCCUUGACUUUGGGAUAACUUCAGGAAACUGGGACUAAUACCGGAUAGGAGCUCCUGCUGCAUGGUGGGGGUUGGAAAGUUUCGGCGGUUGGGGAUGGACUCGCGGCUUAUCAGCUUGUUGGUGGGGUAGUGGCUUACCAAGGCUUUGACGGGUAGCCGGCCUGAGAGGGUGACCGGGCACAAUGGGACUGGGGUACGGCCCAGACUCCUACGGGAGGCAGCAGGGGGGAAUAUUGCACAAUGGGCGGAAGCCUGAUGCAGCAACGCCGCGUGCGGGAUGACGGCCUUCGGGUUGUAAACCGCUUUCGCCUGUGACGAAGCGUGAGUGACGGUAAUGGGUAAAGAAGCACCGGCUAACUACGUG